CAGUAGCCACGGGAAUACGAAGGGGGCUAGCGUUGCUCGGAAUCACUGGGCGUAAAGGGUGCGUAGGCGGGUCUUUAAGUCAGGGGUGAAAUCCUGGAGCUCAACUCCAGAACUGCCUUUGAUACUGAAGAUCUUGAGUAUGGGAGAGGUGAGUCGAACUGCGAGUGUAGAGGUGAAAUUCGUAGAUAUUCGCAAGAACACCAGUGGCGAAGGCGGCUCACUGGCCCAUAACUGACGCUGAGGCACGAAAGCGUGGGGAGCAAACAGGAUUAGAUACCCGGGUAGUCCCUGUCUCUUAUAC
RNAcentral lists this ribosomal RNA (301 nucleotides) under uncultured bacterium. RNAcentral's name for it is "partial 16S ribosomal RNA". It matches the Rfam family "Bacterial small subunit ribosomal RNA", at positions 509 to 807 of the family's 1533-position model. The record is from RNAcentral.